GGGAUAGCCCAGGGAAACCUGGAUUAAUACCGGAUGAGACGGGACCCGCGAUGGCGGGACCCGGGAAGGCGCUGCGGCGCCGUCCGGGGGAUGAGUCUGCGUCCCAUUAGCUAGACGGCGGGGUAACGGCCCACCGUGGCGACGAUGGGUAGCCGGCCUGAGAGGGUGGACGGCCACAUUGGAACUGAGACACGGUCCAGACUCCUACGGGAGGCAGCAGCGUAAGAAUCUUCCGCAAUGGGGCGAAAGCCUGACGGAGCGACGCCCGCGUGAACGAAGAAGGCCGUGAGGUUGUAAAGUUCUUUUCGGGAGGGGGAACAACCGUGGCAGGGAAUGGCCGCGGGAUGACGUGAAUCCCGGAAUAAGCCCCGGCUAACUACGUGCCAGCCGCAGC
This 394-nucleotide ribosomal RNA is filed under the name uncultured bacterium. Its description in RNAcentral is "bacterial SSU rRNA". It matches the Rfam family "Bacterial small subunit ribosomal RNA", at positions 140 to 518 of the family's 1533-position model. The record is from RNAcentral.